UACGGGAGGCAGCAGUAGGGAAUCUUCGGCAAUGGGGGCAACCCUGACCGAGCAACGCCGCGUGAGUGAAGAAGGUUUUCGGAUCGUAAAGCUCUGUUGUAAGAGAAGAACGUGUGUGAGAGUGGAAAAUUCACACAGUGACGGUAACUUACCAGAAAGGGACGGCUAACUACGUGCCAGCAGCCGCGGUAAU
RNAcentral lists this ribosomal RNA (193 nucleotides) under uncultured rumen bacterium. Its description in RNAcentral is "partial 16S ribosomal RNA". It matches the Rfam family "Bacterial small subunit ribosomal RNA", at positions 340 to 524 of the family's 1533-position model. The record is from RNAcentral.